RNAcentral lists this ribosomal RNA (253 nucleotides) under uncultured bacterium. RNAcentral describes it as "partial 16S ribosomal RNA". It matches the Rfam family "Bacterial small subunit ribosomal RNA", at positions 524 to 776 of the family's 1533-position model. The record is from RNAcentral.
UACGUAGGGGGCAAGCGUUGUCCGGAUUUAUUGGGCGUAAAGAGCGCGUAGGCGGCUUUGUAAGUUAGAGGUGAAAGCCCGGGGCUCACCCCCGGAAGUGCGCUGGAAACUGGUUGGCUAGAGUACGGGAGAGGGAAGCGGAAUUCCUGGUGUAGCGGUGAAAUGCGUAGAUAUCAGGAGGAACACCGGCGGCGAAGGCGGCUUCCUGGACCGAUACUGACGCUGAGACGCGAAAGCGUGGGGAGCAAACGGG